Long non-coding RNA from Mesoplodon densirostris (Blainville's beaked whale), 849 nucleotides. RefSeq lists it as uncharacterized. NCBI's taxonomy places the organism in Eukaryota, Metazoa, Chordata, Mammalia, Artiodactyla, Ziphiidae. The record is from RefSeq and is a predicted model, not a curated record. The transcript is spliced from 3 exons.
GUCCGGGGGCGUGCGAGUCUGGCCGUGUGCGCGCGGCCAGCCAGUCAGGAAGUACCAGGGAACAUCCCGGCCGGCUGCGCCGCUCCCGCCUCCCCGGCGGCCGCCGAGCGUUGCCGAGCGCCGUAACCCCGGUCCGCCGCGCUCCCUCGGCCGGGCAGCAGUCGCCUCCUCCGGCUGCUGCUGCUGCUGCCGCCGCCGCUCCUCCUCCUUCUGGCCCAGAGAGGGUAGGAGAAAAGCCGGGCCUCCGCCCCCUCGGCGGGCCGGGCGGGCCGGGCGGGCGGGAGCAGCACGUGCCCGCCUUGGGGGUCGGGAGGACGAGGGGGCCGCGCUCCCCGCUGAGGCCCCGGAGCCCGGGCGGCGGCGGCCGGGUACAAAGGAGCGGCCCGCGCGCGGGGCGCCGCGGAAUAUAAAUUAAUAAAUACGACGCCCCAGCCCGAGAGCUCCCGAUCGCCAAUCCGCCUGCAGCAAGUUUGUUCAACUCGACAGGCUGUAACCAGAGCCGGGGAAAGGGGAGGGUGGGUCGGUGAGGCCCCUGCUCCCUGAAGACUGGAAAAAAAAAAAAAGAGGGUGUGACAAAUUGGAUUAUCAUAUGUCCUCCAACUUCAAGGUCACUGCAGAACACACAAGGAAGGUCCUCCAGCGCAAACAGUUCAGUCUUUUAGAAGAGGCUAAUAUCUGUCUGCAUGAUGGAAUUAACAACAAAGUUUAUCCAAUAGCCACAUUCACAAAUCCACCUUCUAAAUAUGGUUCUUAACAAAGACUUCAAGGGAAUCUGAUGACCUGCUGAACAGGUAUGCAAACAACUGUGUAUAAUGCACAUGUGUGUUUUACUACUACAUUCUCAUAGCA